This 503-nucleotide ribosomal RNA is filed under the name Staphylococcus aureus. RNAcentral describes it as "bacterial SSU rRNA". It matches the Rfam family "Bacterial small subunit ribosomal RNA", at positions 196 to 687 of the family's 1533-position model. The record is from RNAcentral. Lineage: Bacteria; Bacillati; Bacillota; Bacilli; Caryophanales; Staphylococcaceae.
AAAAGUGAAAGACGGUCUUGCUGUCACUUAUAGAUGGAUCCGCGCUGCAUUAGCUAGUUGGUAAGGUAACGGCUUACCAAGGCAACGAUGCAUAGCCGACCUGAGAGGGUGAUCGGCCACACUGGAACUGAGACACGGUCCAGACUCCUACGGGAGGCAGCAGUAGGGAAUCUUCCGCAAUGGGCGAAAGCCUGACGGAGCAACGCCGCGUGAGUGAUGAAGGUCUUCGGAUCGUAAAACUCUGUUAUUAGGGAAGAACAUAUGUGUAAGUAACUGUGCACAUCUUGACGGUACCUAAUCAGAAAGCCACGGCUAACUACGUGCCAGCAGCCGCGGUAAUACGUAGGUGGCAAGCGUUAUCCGGAAUUAUUGGGCGUAAAGCGCGCGUAGGCGGUUUUUUAAGUCUGAUGUGAAAGCCCACGGCUCAACCGUGGAGGGUCAUUGGAAACUGGAAAACUUGAGUGCAGAAGAGGAAAGUGGAAUUCCAUGUGUAGCGGUGAAAU